AGCUUUGCGCAGUGGCAGUAUGGUAGCCAAUGAGGUUUAUCCGAGGCAUGAUUAUUGCUAAUUGAAAACUUAAAAGCUUAAUGCAAUAAAAACACUGUGACCUAUUGUAUUGGGGGAGUUGACAGCAAACAAUUAUUUGCUGCGUGAGAUUUUUGAUAGUCACCUUUAAGUCAAUGGGA
RNAcentral lists this small nuclear RNA (179 nucleotides) under Pteropus alecto (black flying fox). Its description in RNAcentral is "U4 spliceosomal RNA". It matches the Rfam family "U4 spliceosomal RNA". Rfam says of the family: U4 small nuclear RNA (U4 snRNA) is a component of the major U2-dependent spliceosome. The structure of U4 snRNA from yeast and human has been reported. U4 snRNA presents a k-turn RNA motif in the 5p-SL related to recognition of Snu13 protein. RNAcentral also lists the same sequence under 1 other name. The record is from Rfam by way of RNAcentral. Lineage: Eukaryota; Metazoa; Chordata; Mammalia; Chiroptera; Pteropodidae.